CCGACGCCGGCUGGCGCGAACUCCUCGGUCCCCAAAUAUACCAAAGUUCAUAGCGUGCGAAAUGUGGUGACUAUUAAUUUUUGGACUGUAUUUAUUAAGAUCAACGCACAUAGGCCUAACAUGUCCUGAACGAAGACUACACAUUUUUAUGAAGGCACAUAAUGUGACCCGGUUGUCUCGGCGUGAUGCAACUAGUAAUGGUUAAUUUUCUCAUCAUGUUUGAUGUAGUAUUCGUGUUCUUCCUUUUCCUGAUUGCGGUGACCUGCUUCAUGAACUACAUGCCUGGUAGAAGAAGGCAGGAGGUUAUAGAGGAAGAAGUGGAAAAUGACGUUAUUCCCCCACCUCCUCUAUUUGCUGGUGACGAAGGUAACGAUGAAUAUGCCAGCAGGGACACUUACGUGGUGAUUCCACCGCCUAUGGGAAACAUCAGAUCGAAGGAUGGAUGUCCCAUACACGUCGUGUAGUACAAGUUUUAUAUAUCAACGUAGGAGUUUAUGAAGAAGCCUUAUGAAAUUGUAGAUGUGAAAAAAAAUUAGUAUUUUUUUUACAAAUUAGUCAAAUUGAAUAAAACAAGUUUUGCAAAGACUUAAACGUGUGAAAAUUCGGGACUCAAGUGUUGGUAUUCAACUAUGAAAAUACUAAAAAUGUAACGUUGUUAGAUAAAAUAAUGAGAUAUUGUGAAACUAUUCAUAUUAUAAUGAUUGUUGUGUUAGUAGAUUAUGAAAUGUGUUCUAAACAUAGAUAAAACCUUGUUUAUGUUCAUCUUAUACAUAAAAGUGUCUUAUUUUUGUUACAUUUUAUAUUUUUUUUAAUAUUUAAAUGAAUAUGACUGAGUACUAGAUAAUAUAGUACAUAAAUUAAUAUCUGUUCUGUAGAAUACGUUUUUUGAAAUAUCAAUUUAUUUUUAUGGUAUCAUAGGGUUUAUGAUUUCGAUAUAAAAAAUAAUAUAUUUGGUGUCUAGCUAUAAGGAACCAAAUAAUAUUUACCAUGUGGUAUUUUAAACGUUUAGAAUCUUACUUGAUUUAAAAAAAAACAAGCUUUUUUUAUUUUCAUACACAUAUUUUUGUACGACUGAAUUUUGUUUAUUUUUAUCAUUUUUCUAUAAUCUAGUCAUAUUUAUAAAACUGUUUUACUACGAAAAUUGAUAAAAUUGUAUGCAAAGAACCUAAUCUCUCGUCGGAAAUAGCUGUGAUGUCAUUGCUGGAUAUAUAUUGAUCCAAUACCAUAAAAAAAAAAAAAAAUCUAAUUUCGCAAGGUAUCGCAACGUAAAAGCUCAAAGUAACUCAACACUUAAUAGCGAUGACUCAUAAAAUAUACAAUCGGAACACGGUAACCCAAUUUCGUUACUUCCGUCUGGUGAAGGUACUUACUCACCAUUCGCAUCGCAUCGCAUUACUAUGCGUGAAACUGGUAUCGAGAUUCUUACGAAUUUAGAAAUUUGAUCCAGUCUACUGAAAGCCUUAUUGAAAAAACUGGAGUGUUUGAUAACCCCGAGAUAAGUUAAUUCCGAGACGCCGAAGCAAAUGGUUAUGUCAAUAGCAAUUUAAGUCAUGCUUGUUUUCAACAAUAUUCAAAAAGGCACGUGUUGGGAUCGGUUAACAUUUUGUUAAAAAAAAACAAAUUGAAUAUUAUGAGCUAUUCUGUAGACGUCAAUAGUAGUUAGUCUAGAGUUAAGAUUAACAUAAUAAUGAAAAGACAAUACGUAUGUACCUAUUACGAUCAUUCCAUAUCAUCAUUAAAUUAUGUAUAUUUCAGCUGAUUACUUUAAAUAUGUAGACAUAGUUUAGUUAUAUGUGCUAUCAAUACUUUGUUCGAGGUGUAAGGAAUGCCUAACGUAUAUUUAGUUAGGAUGAAACAAUGUUGAUGUAUUAAAAUUAUUAUAUUAAAUAAAAAUAUUGUUUUACAAAAGAUCCAUACCUCAUUUUGUUAUUAUUUCCUUUGUAUAAUAUUUAAUUGUUACAUAAUGGCAAUAGUGAAAUAUGUUUCAUGUAACAUGUGAUAUAUAUACACAAUUUUUAUUGUAGUUAUAGAAAAUGUAACGUUUGAAUGCUAAUGAUGUCGUGAAACCUUAUUUUAUGUGACGCAAUAACAUAGACUUUGACAAAUUUCCUGACCGUUUUGUUAUUUUAACUUUUAAUAUAAAUAUUUUUUUAAAAAUUAAGAAUUACCUUAGCUUUAUUUUGAACUUUGCCAUUAAAAACGCACUGUUACAUAUUUGAAACCAUUAAUUUUAUUUCGGAGAUUUGUCUUUUGCUUUCAAUGAAUACAUUUUCGUACUUUACGUCACCGAAAUAGCUUUUAAACUUUUAAGAGUUGGUGACAUCUGGAAUUUUUAUUCUGUGGAUGUUUUGUUAUCGACUUAUUUAUAUUUAUCAUGUAUUUAAUA
This is a long non-coding RNA of Danaus plexippus (monarch butterfly), 2386 nucleotides long. RefSeq lists it as uncharacterized. The record is from RefSeq and is a predicted model, not a curated record. Lineage: Eukaryota; Metazoa; Arthropoda; Insecta; Lepidoptera; Nymphalidae. The transcript has 3 exons.